GCUAACUGCCAUAAUAAGAACUAGUUAUAGUAUAGUUAGUGAAGCCUGCCCGCUGAUACUUUUCAAAUUUGAUUAGAAGGUAUUGAAGGGCCGCGGUAACUCUGACCGUGCUAAGGUAGCAUAAUCAAUCGUCACUUAAUUGGUGACUAGAAUGAAAGGCUAAACGAGCAUUCCUCUGUCUUAAAUUUAAACUUAGUGAAAUUAAACUAUCCGUUAAGAUUCGGAUAUUUCUUGAUUAGACGAGAAGACCCCGUUGAGCUUUACCUAAGCUUUUUAUUUAAAUGGUUCUCCUUGAUAAGAAAACGAUUUAACUUAGAAGAGCGACAGGUUUGGUUGGGGCGACCGCCCAAAUAAAAGAAACUUGGGUAAACAAGGGUUAAACUUAUAAUAGAUACAGCUUUAUUGAUAGACAGACAUGUUAAUUAAAAAGGAUUUCUCCUUUGCUAUAGCGACCCGUUACUAAUUGGUAGCGAAUCUGAAUAAAAGUUACCACGGGGAUAACAGGGUUAUCCAAUUCUAGAGUUCUUAUCGAAGAUUGGGUUUGCCACCUCGAUGUUGAAUAGCAGUAUCCUAGGGGUGCAGAAGCUCCUAAGGGUUGGUCUGUUCGACCAUUAAAAC
This 618-nucleotide ribosomal RNA is filed under the name Tamoya cf. haplonema AGC-2009. RNAcentral describes it as "partial 16S ribosomal RNA". It matches the Rfam family "Bacterial large subunit ribosomal RNA", at positions 1816 to 2594 of the family's 2925-position model. The record is from RNAcentral. RNAcentral also lists the same sequence under 1 other name. Lineage: Eukaryota; Metazoa; Cnidaria; Cubozoa; Carybdeida; Tamoyidae.